UACGUAGGGUGCGAGCGUUGUCCGGAAUUAUUGGGCGUAAAGAGCUCGUAGGCGGUGUGUCGCGUCGGCCGUGAAAACCUGGGGCUCAACUCUAGGCGUGCGGUCGAUACGGGCAUCACUAGAGUUCGGCAGGGGAGACUGGAAUUCCUGGUGUAGCGGUGAAAUGCGCAGAUAUCAGGAAGAACACCUAUGGCGAAGGCAGCUCUCUGGGACGGUACUGACGCUGAGACGCGAAAGCGUGGGGAGCGAACAGG
Molecule: ribosomal RNA, 254 nt
Filed under: uncultured bacterium
Lineage: Bacteria
Description: partial 16S ribosomal RNA
Rfam family: Bacterial small subunit ribosomal RNA
Source: RNAcentral